RNAcentral lists this unclassified non-coding RNA (1277 nucleotides) under Phaeostigma salicifolium. RNAcentral's name for it is "Ajania salicifolia partial miscellaneous RNA". Lineage: Eukaryota; Viridiplantae; Streptophyta; Magnoliopsida; Asterales; Asteraceae. The record is from RNAcentral.
UAAGUAUUUGGAGGCAGGAUGUGCGGGCACCGGUCGGCCUAUGGAACCACCGUUGUGUGCUCCGUGCAUUACGUCGAAGGCAAAUACGCCCCCUAAUCGGUGUGGUCUUGCAGCACCGGUGGGCUUGAUAAUCUCAAGCUCUAGACGACGGUUCACCUAACGCUUUCACCUAAAACGUGAAAGCGUUAGGUGAAAGCGUCGGCAUUAAGUUGGUUGCGUCUGCUGGCUCCAACCCGGGAGUAGAUUAUCUUUUUUGAUAAUCUCAAGCCCGCGAUGACGGUUUUCAGUGAUUAUCUUCCUGGAUCGUUGUCAAUCGGGCUUGAUAAUCUCAAGCUCGUGAUGGGUACCGUCGCUUGUGGGUUCCGUUGCUGCCUGAUCUUGCUUAUAUAUAUGUGCGAGUCCGGACUUGUUUCUCAUGCCUCGUUAGUGAUUUGAAUCCAUCGCUUUGUAAACGUGACGAUUUGUUGCUUGCGUCUGCUGGCUUGACUCGUUCGUAUGCGGUUGCUAAGGUGAAGGGACUCGUUUCUUUAGGUGACUUGAUCCGACGAUGAUGUUACCGUGCGUUGAUUGAGCUUUGCUUUGGAUCAAAUGGCAUAGCUACGGAGUCGUUUGGUCUUUGUUGCGCGAGCAACAUGAGCGACCGGUUCCUUCUAAAUGGAUAUAUAUAAGCAAGCGAUGAUGCAACAGAACCCACAAGCGACGGCUUACCCCAUGGACCCUUCCUGAUGACCCUUCCUGAUGACGGUUUAUAUUCCUGAUUUUCCCAUCGUUCGGGGCAUUCUGGGGCUGUUUUGGCUUUUGGUUGCUUGUUUGGUCUUGAGCCGAACGGGUGGCUUCUAGUCUGGCGGCUUCGGGGAUGUUGACCGUAAAGGUGGAUGAGUGGUGUUUGGUUUGUUACGUGUGGUUGGCUGCGGCGUUUGCAACAACUUCCAUGCUUUCAGACCUCUUCAGUUGUGCGGCAAGGCUUGUAUCGCCUUGAGCGUAUUGUGGGUUUUCUGUGUUGGCUACCUAAUCAAUGGUAUCGGUUGGAUUGAUCAAAGUUAGAUUUUGUCUUUCGUCGCGUUUGCGGCGUGAGGUGAACCUUGAUGCGGUCUCUUUGAUCCAUCUCGUCGAAGCACAUGCUUUGACGUUGUGGCACAUUGAGCAUUGCUUGGUCUCUUGUAUACGGAACAUGUAGUGGGCAUGGAUCUAACGAUUCUUGUUUGCCCUCAUAUUAGCGUAACGCUUCUCUAACACGACUUGCACCAUGUUUUAGCUCGUACGGACGUGGUGCUAUU